RNAcentral lists this ribosomal RNA (989 nucleotides) under Podila verticillata. RNAcentral's name for it is "LSU rRNA". It matches the Rfam family "Eukaryotic large subunit ribosomal RNA", at positions 38 to 885 of the family's 3401-position model. Lineage: Eukaryota; Fungi; Mortierellomycota; Mortierellomycetes; Mortierellales; Mortierellaceae. The record is from RNAcentral.
GCAUAUCAAUAAGCGGAGGAAAAAGAAACUAACAAGGAUUCCCCUAGUAACGGCGAGUGAAGCGGGAUGAGCUCAAAUUUGAAAUCUGGCUGGUUUACUAGUCCGAGUUGUAAUUUAAAGAAGCGUUUUCGGUGGCAGCCUGGGUAUAAAUCCUUUGGAAUAGGGUAUCAUAGAGGGUGAGAAUCCCGUCUUUGACCUAGUGCAUGCUACUAUGUGAUACGUUUUCAAAGAGUCGAGUUGUUUGGGAAUGCAGCUCAAAAUGGGUGGUAAAUUUCAUCUAAAGCUAAAUAUUGGCGAGAGACCGAUAGCGAACAAGUACCGUGAGGGAAAGAUGAAAAGAACUUUGAAAAGAGAGUUAAACAGUGCGUGAAAUUGUUGAAAGGGAAACGUUUGACACCAGUCAUGUGGGUGGAAAAUCAGUCUUUUGCAUUGGGGAGUUGUAAAGGUUCGGACCGCAAGGCCGGCUUUUGCUUCAUCUUUGGUGUAAGGGAUGCACUUUUUCAUCUGCAGGUCAACAUCAGUUUCUUUUGCUGGACAAAACUCCGAGAGAAGGUAGCAGCUUAGGCUGUGUUAUAGCUCUGGAGCGAUACAGUGAAGGGGACUGAGGUUUUCGCAGCGUGUGCUCUCGGGCAAGGCUGGAUGGGUGCUAUGGGAUCGUUCGGGGUACAAUGCCUGGCAUUUUGCUUCGUGUCUUUUCUAUACUCGCUCAACUCAGCUCUUCCACGCUUAGGAUGUUGACUUAAUGGUUUUAAACGACCCGUCUUGAAACACGGACCAAGGAGUCUAACAUAUAUGCAAGUGUUUGGGUGGCAAACCCAUGCGCGUAAUGAAAGUGAACGUAGGUGCGAUCCGCAAGGUGCAGCAUCGACCGAUCUUGAUAUUUUUGGAUAGAUUUGAGUAAGAGCAUAUAUGCUGGGACCCGAAAGAUGGUGAACUAUGCCUGAAUAGGGUGAAGCCAGAGGAAACUCUGGUGGAGGCUCGUAGCGAUU